Cordylochernes scorpioides is the source of this 68-nucleotide non-coding RNA. NCBI's taxonomy places the organism in Eukaryota, Metazoa, Arthropoda, Arachnida, Pseudoscorpiones, Chernetidae. The record is from the annotation of a GenBank genome assembly.
GUAGCCUAGUGGGCAGGGCACCUGCCCGGUAAGCAGAAGGUUGUGGGUUCGAUUCCCGCCCCUGGACA